GAAAUUGAUGUCGUGGUUUUUAUCAUAUUGAUAUGAGAGAGUGGACAGUAGGACAAAAAGUUAAGUGUUCUUCAAUAUUGUAAGUGUAGAAUAAGUAGUUAUUUGCUGAUUUGUAGAUACUUAGUUUAUAGUGUAAACAGGGAUAGAUGACUGUUAGAAAGGUAGUUCAGUAGUUAAAAUGGAUGAAUAGUUAGGAAAAGCAGUUUUCAUUAGAGAUGUAGCAGUUGGUAUCUUGUGGUAGGAUAAGGAGGAUGAGAGAGAGGAAGAAACCGCCAUUACUGUGAUAGUGUGAGCCGGGGUAAGCUUGGUGCUACCUCUUUUUUUUUGUUGUUAUGUUCUUUGAAAUAAGAGUAUUGAGAGUUUUU
This 365-nucleotide long non-coding RNA is filed under the name Physcomitrium patens. Its description in RNAcentral is "long non-coding RNA (PPAT_LNC010482)". Lineage: Eukaryota; Viridiplantae; Streptophyta; Bryopsida; Funariales; Funariaceae. The record is from RNAcentral.